CUUUCGGCCGGGAAGAAAUCGCAUGGGUGAAUACCCUGUGUGGAUGACGGUACCGGAACAAGAAGCACCGGCUAACUACGUGCCAGCAGCCGCGGUAAUACGUAGGGUGCGAGCGUUAAUCGGAAUUACUGGGCGUAAAGCGUGCGCAGGCGGUUUGGUAAGACAGGCGUGAAAUCCCCGGGCUUAACCUGGGAACUGCGCUUGUGACUGCCAGGCUAGAGUACGGCAGAGGGGGGUGGAAUUCCACGUGUAGCAGUGAAAUGCGUAGAGAUGUGGAGGAACACCAAUGGCGAAGGCAGCCCCCUGGGUCGAUACUGACGCUCAUGCACGAAAGCGUGGGUAGCAAACAGGAUUAGAUACCCUGGUAGUCCACGCCCUAAACGAUGUCAACUAGGUGUUGGGUGGGUAAAACCAUUUAGUACCGUAGCUAACGCGUGAAGUUGACCGCCUGGGGAGUACGGCCGCAAGGUUAAAACUCAAAGGAAUUGAC
This 490-nucleotide ribosomal RNA is filed under the name uncultured bacterium. RNAcentral's name for it is "bacterial SSU rRNA". It matches the Rfam family "Bacterial small subunit ribosomal RNA", at positions 433 to 914 of the family's 1533-position model. The record is from RNAcentral.